This 834-nucleotide ribosomal RNA is filed under the name Triticum aestivum (bread wheat). RNAcentral describes it as "partial small subunit ribosomal RNA". The record is from RNAcentral. Lineage: Eukaryota; Viridiplantae; Streptophyta; Magnoliopsida; Poales; Poaceae.
AUAUCGCAUUUUUGGUGGGGUGAUGGUGAGGACCAACGGAAACUGCAUUGGUUCGCUUGGCGGAAGAUGUGCAUUCCAAAAUCUAGGGGAGGCAUGGGCUUCCGUGAUAUUCAUAGUUUUAAUCUAGCAAUGCUCGCUAAACAAUGCUGGAGACUCAUAGAUAACUAUGACUCACUUUGUGCCAAGGUUCUGCGAGCUAAGUAUUACCCAUCGGGAGACCUGCUAAACUAUGAUUUGAAGAAGGGUUCAUCUUAUGUAUGGCAAAGCAUAUGGUCAGGAAUUCAGACCUUCAAGGAAGGGUGCAUCUGGAGGGUUGGAAAUGGAAUGAAAAUUGAUAGCUGGGAUGAUUGUUGGAUCCCUAGUAGCAGCUCAAGGAUGAUACUGACAGUACGGGGAAACUGCAUCCUCUCCAAGGUAAAUGAGCUUAUUAAUCCAACCACAGGUGAGUGGGAUGAGCCACUUAUUCGUGAUAAUGUUUGGCAUGUAGACGCUGAACGGAUUCUUCAGAUUCCUAUAUACCAACAUGAGACUGAGGACUUUAUAGCAUGUCAUCUCACCAAGUCGAGGAUCUUUACUGUAGGGUCUACUUACUACUGGCAAUGGGAAGUAGCAUUUGCAUCCAGCAAUGACAGUAGUUUGGUUGUACAUGGUCCAUCUCCACACCCCAUCUGGGAGAACCUAUGGUCUCUGAAAGUCCCGAGCAAGGUUAAAAUCUUUAUAUGGAGAUGUUUGCACAAUGCUAUCCCAUCAGAUGUAUUCUCGCCAAUAUACAUAUUGCACGUUCCUCACAGUGUCCCAUCUGCUCGUUGCAUGCUGAAGAUACGGCGCACUUGA